ACAACCACAAGCUUUAUAAAAAAUUAUUAUAAUACUGUACGAUUAUGUAUUCUCCAAGGGUCAUGUUAGAAAGCGCUAGCUUGUAAAAAGGAUAAAACUGUAUCUAAAUAUACUGUCAAAUAAAGUUCUCAUAGCCAAUGAGGCGAAAAAAAAUUAAAAAUCACUUAGGGCCUAUAAACAGAUUUAGAUGUAGAAUAAAACAUGGAAUGUUCAGUCUAUUGAUUUAUCCACUGAUAUUAGAGAGAUAAAAUUUAUAAUAAUCUAGAACUUGGCAAAGAAUUUAAAAUGUUGUGAGGUUACCAUUAAAUGCGUAUUUACCCCAAAGUCAGAGGAGGUAAAGGGAGUUGGGUUGACAGAACUGAGUUAACAUCUAUUUGAACAUAAGUGAGUAAGUAAAUUCAAGAACCACGUUGGACAAUCAUAUUCUGAUAUCCUGUAAAGCUCUGGAUAUACUGUAAGUUAAGCAAUGCAUUCCUUAAACUAGGAAAAAUUAUAGUCAUAUAAAAUUUAUAUCGAAAUAAUAUUACUGAACUUUUAUGAACCAAAACACAAUUUGAUGUACCAAAUAAUAACAAAGUCUGUACAGCAUAGUUAAGGUAGGAUAGCUAAUGAGGUUAAGGAGGUCAAAAUGGAAAUUAUUGCAACAGGAGCAGAAGCAAAAUCAAAAGCUUAGCACACUGAGACGACCAAGGUUUCUCUAGCCCAAUCUUCUAGUAAGAAUGGAGACGUGCUAGUAGAGGCUUGCAAUAAAGCCUAGAAAGACUGAGCAAGCAGUUCAAAGAUAAUAUAUCUUCUUAUUCUCUGCAGCUAUCAAUUCAGUGUUGGAAGAAAGCACCUUUUUCUAUGCAUGGAUACCACUUCGGGAAACUACCUGUUUCAGGACAGCAUCCUCAGAGACCUCCAAGACUGAGCAGCUUUAAAGGCAAAUUCAAGCUUGCCAUAAAACGUAAUACAGAGGUGAUGGCUUUGGCGAUUUGCCGCAAAUCAUGCAGAAGGCUGUAAUGGAGAAGGAAACUGAACCAAAGCCACCCAUCUUUCAGGCUAGUGAUAUAAUCAGCAAAUCAUCCUCUGGCCCUGCUGUUCUGUUCUGGAUGAUCCCUAUGAAGAGGAUCAGGCAUCGAGGUGUCAGCAGGGUUGGGAAUCUCAUGAUAUAUGCUCUGGAACAGCCUGUUCUUACAGUUUUAAGAGGCAUGAGCUGGCACGCGUGUAUUUGUCUCCGGGGCUUUCUGCUGGAGCGGUGCGCUGUGUCGGGCUCUCCUCACACCUCCGGGUGCUGCUCCUGGGAGGCUCUUCCCUGCGUGGGGCGAAGGUGCAGCACCCAGUCAUGCUCUGCCGCAUUCCAGGAGUGCUGCCCGAGCCCAAAAUAGAAACUCCUAACCACCAAAGGAAUAAGCACAGCCGUACUGAAGAGUGAGGGGCUUGUAACACAAAUAAGGCAUGUGAGUUGUUAGACUGAACAUCUGGGACCUUCAGAAUGACUGUAUUGAAGGAUCCAGCAAAAGUCACAAAGGCAAACCAGCAGCUGUAUCAUAACCAGUGUGUUACCAACAAUUUUGAUGGCAUACUUGAACAGACAUGCCGAAAAGAUUCUCUGCUGAAGAAUUUAUUUGCUAAUUCAGAGUGUUUUAUAAUAACAGAUAAAGAGGUUCUGUUAGAUUGCCCCCAUUCAGAAAAUAUGUACUAUAUAGUGUGAAUGUCCCUUUUCACCCCUCUUAAUUAGCUAAUGUGCUAUGCAGCGUAUUUGAUCUCUGGCCCUGUCCUGGAAGGUCAGAAGCAUGCAUAGCAAUGGGAUACUUUGGUGCUUUUUAUUUGUUCGUCCUGUUUUAAAAAGUAUGUGUAUAAAGAACAAGAAUCCUUCACCAAGAGGUGAACAGCUCUUGCUAGUGUUGUAAAGCUAUACAGGUAAAUUAUUUAUGUCAGUGUGAAAUCCUUAAAUACCACCAUAGUUUUCAGGUAUCUCAGAGAAUUACUCCUGUUCUUCUUGCAUUAGCCAUUCCGGUUUUUCAGUAUCUUGGGAAUUUUGUAAAGGUAGAAGCGACAGCAUGGUCUAUGCACUGACUUUGAUCUGCAGACUUCAAACAAAUACACUCUGCAAGUACUUGUCACAGACCCAAAAGUCUAGCAGGAGCUGGAACCCAUUCUAUAUCCAAACCCAGAUAUUUUGAUUCUCUUUUUAUAUCCACACCUUGCCAAUAGCAGGACCCUAUUUAACGUGGUUUCUGCUUCCCUGAUCCUCGCCGUUUGUUUGAUCGUAAGUCAUCUUUCACGUGCAUCGUCUUCUUGCAUCUUGGCUCUUCCCCUGCCAGAGCUGCCCUAAGCCCUUUGCUGUAACGGGACAGCGGUGAGGUGCCCGUGGAGACUCCACGGACCUGCCCCAGCUGAACAAAUUGGCUGCUCCAGUCCUACACAGGGUCGAAUAAGAAACUGAAGAGAACCACUCUGCAGGUAUGUCUUUAUCAUACUCUUGUUAUAGCAAGCCUCUUAGCUUGCUGCUCCUCUGCUCCAGUUAGCAUGCAGGCAAGCACGUGCUGUAGCUGCAAGGCAACAACGAAGAUCUCAUGUACUGUUUCAGCCACAGGGUAGUGUCAGGAGCCAUUUCAUAUUGCCUUUUAGCUCUUAAUUCUGCUCUUACACUGCGUUUUUGUCUGUACCCAAUUACUUACGUGUUUUAGAAGUGAGCUGGCUUUCAGCUGACCAACUCGUGUACCCCAAAGAAUUCAAGAUGCAGACGAAGGGCUGCAAAGGACCUCACUUAGAGGGCUAAUAGCAUGGCUAAUCACCAAGCAGGGCACACGAUUUGGAACAGGUCCUGAGCAAAAAUAGUGUUGAUGGCCUUGGAAUUCUUGACCCAGGAUAGGAAGAUUAUUUCUUAUUUUACCUGUAUAGCUUUGCAACACUAGCAAGAGCUGUCAGAAAGCUGUAAUGUAGUGGAGACUCUCUGGAGUUUCUUUCCUGGUGGUUUAAAGAUAUGGUGCUAAGCAGUUUCUUCUGGUAAAAUAUUUUAAGUAGUGACAUAAUUUCCUUUAAAUAACUAUCAUUUUCAAGCCCAAUAAAAGUCAGAGCUUUAUGGUCUGUAGUAACUCAAA
This is a long non-coding RNA of Harpia harpyja (harpy eagle), 3086 nucleotides long. RefSeq lists it as uncharacterized. Lineage: Eukaryota; Metazoa; Chordata; Aves; Accipitriformes; Accipitridae. The transcript is spliced from 4 exons. The record is from RefSeq and is a predicted model, not a curated record.